RNAcentral lists this transfer RNA (71 nucleotides) under Bos taurus (domestic cattle). It matches the Rfam family "tRNA". Rfam says of the family: Transfer RNA (tRNA) molecules are approximately 80 nucleotides in length. Their secondary structure includes four short double-helical elements and three loops (D, anti-codon, and T loops). Lineage: Eukaryota; Metazoa; Chordata; Mammalia; Artiodactyla; Bovidae. The record is from Rfam by way of RNAcentral. RNAcentral also lists the same sequence under 2 other names.
UUCCAGGUGGCUCAGUGGUAAAGAAUCUGCCUGCUAAGCAGAAGAUGCAGGUUCGAUCCCCGGCUUGGGAA